GACGAACGCUGGCGGCGUGCUUAACACAUGCAAGUCGAACGGUGAAGCGCCUUCCUUUUUGGUGGGUGUGGAUGAGUGGCGAACGGGUGAGUAACACGUGAGUAACCUGCCCCCUUCUUCUGGAUAACCGCAUGAAAGUGUGGCUAAUACGGGAUAUUCUGGGUCUGUCGCAUGAUGGGUCUGGGAAAGCUAUUGUUUCGGUGGGGGAUGGGCUCGCGGCGUAUCAGCUUGUUGGUGGGGUAAUGGCCUACCAAGGCGGUGACGCGUAGCCGGCCUGAGAGGAGGUUCAGGCAAGAUGGAACUGAGACACGGGCCAGAGUCCUAAGGGAGGCAGCAGUGGGGAAGAUUGGACAAUGGGGGAAAGCGUGAUCCAGCCAUACCGCGUGGGUGAAGAAGGCCUUCGGGUUGUAAAGAGCUUUUGUUGGGAAAGAAAAGAAGCAGGUUAAUACCACGCUGUUCUGAGGGUACCCAAAGAAUAAGCACCGGCUAACUUCGUG
RNAcentral lists this ribosomal RNA (497 nucleotides) under uncultured bacterium. RNAcentral's name for it is "partial 16S ribosomal RNA". It matches the Rfam family "Bacterial small subunit ribosomal RNA", at positions 28 to 507 of the family's 1533-position model. The record is from RNAcentral.